GAUGAACGCUGGCGGCGUGCCUAAUACAUGCAAGUCGAGCGAACAGACGAGGAGCUUGCUCCUCUGAUGUUAGCGGCGGACGGGUGAGUAACACGUGGAUAACCUACCUAUAAGACUGGGAUAACUUCGGGAAACCGGAGCUAAUACCGGAUAAUAUAUUGAACCGCAUGGUUCAAUAGUGAAAGACGGUCUUGCUGUCACUUAUAGAUGGAUCCGCGCCGCAUUAGCUAGUUGGUAAGGUAACGGCUUACCAAGGCAACGAUGCGUAGCCGACCUGAGAGGGUGAUCGGCCACACUGGAACUGAGACACGGUCCAGACUCCUACGGGAGGCAGCAGUAGGGAAUCUUCCGCAAUGGGCGAAAGCCUGACGGAGCAACGCCGCGUGAGUGAUGAAGGUCUUCGGAUCGUAAAACUCUGUUAUUAGGGAAGAACAAAUGUGUAAGUAACUAUGCACGUCUUGACGGUACCUAAUCAGAAAGCCACGGCUAACUACGUG
RNAcentral lists this ribosomal RNA (497 nucleotides) under uncultured bacterium. Its description in RNAcentral is "partial 16S ribosomal RNA". It matches the Rfam family "Bacterial small subunit ribosomal RNA", at positions 28 to 507 of the family's 1533-position model. The record is from RNAcentral.